Molecule: long non-coding RNA, 5969 nt
Filed under: Heterocephalus glaber (naked mole-rat)
Lineage: Eukaryota; Metazoa; Chordata; Mammalia; Rodentia; Bathyergidae
Description: lncRNA (ENSHGLG00100039496.1)
Source: RNAcentral
UGUAUGUAGCUAUGUCAAAUUCUCUUUCAUAUACAUACAUGUCUAAACCCCAUGUGUGUAUAUGAUACCUACAUUCUUGUUUAAUUGCACAGGCUGUGGUCAGUUCACAUCUGCUUAACUUUUCAGCCAUCACCUGUCUGUGUUUCUUUUACAUGAGUAAGCUGCUAUGUAAAUAUUCUGCAUAUGCUAUGCUUCUGUCCUCUUCAUUCCAUGUUAAUAUAAUAUACCAGAUCCUCUUUUCUAACUUACACUAGAUGUUCUUCUUAGAAGGAAAGAUAUCUUGGACAUGGGUUAGCCUUACAUUUAUUGACUGACAAAGUGACUGUCUGAAAAAAUUCCUUUACAGGUACUAAGAUUAUAUUCUGCAGUGAACACUACAGAGAGAGAUACAUUAUUUGUUUCAUAAUACUGACUUGGCUUGGUACAUAACCUCCCCUCACUUCAUCUAAUCUAUAUUAUGUGUUCGUAUUUCAUGUAUAGGUAUAUGUCUUGUGUAAAUAUGUUAGCCAUAAUCUGAUUUCUAAUGUAGGUACAUAGAGUAAGUUAAAAUUAUGCUUAAUUUAUUUUAUUAGUAGAUUAAUUUGGGGAAAUGUAUGCCCUAUAUCAUGUGGCAACUAUUUUCCUUAAUGCUAUUAGAGAUCUUAACAAUAAAGAUUACAGUGGUCACCUUCUUAUGAGUUCUUUUCUUUCCUUUUUUAUUUUCAGUGCUUAGGAAGGAACCCAGGUCCCCAUCAUGCUAGACAAAUGCUCUGCCACUGAGCUACACUUCCCCAGAGUUGUUUUUUAAUAGGUCAGUGUUUCACUAAUUUUUCUUUACAUGCCAGAAUACAAUAUCACAGCAGAAUAAAAGACAAUGAAACAUAAUUUUAAAAGCUGUGGAGUUGGGCUUUUUAUUCUCUCUCUUCUUCCCCUGUCCCCCAAAGGGAAUAAACCAGAUAUUUUUUAUCUUUGAAGUAUUUUUUUAAUAAGUGGAAGCACUCUGUGUGAUUUUUCUCAGCAGUUAAGAACUAUUUGGAGUUACGUGAGAACAUUGUGGCACGUAGUUUUUAUGGGUGUUAGGGAACUGAUAGCACUGUACCUUUCAUUAUAGGAGAAAGAAGAUCCCCUAGAGUUCUCUGCCAGUAAAGACUCCAAAGAAUUACCUCAUCAUGGCCCACAGUGGUGGGGCUACGGGGCCAGGUUCAGGCAAAAAUUUAAGACAGGGGAAGUGAAUAAAUGUCAAAAUAAAGGAAGUAAAACUACAUACCCAAGCUAAAGAAAACAUGCACGUAAGUGAUAACAUUCCUUUUCCCUUUCCCUUGUAUAUCAAGAGCCUUUAUCUCCAGGAGUUUUUAGUGCGUUCAUUGGGCACAGUGCCAGAUUUCUUUACCUUUCCUUAUGCUUUGUCUUAUUUCCACCCUGGAAAAAAAGUAACAACUUGACAGAAAUAAAGAGUGAAAGCAUGUCCCUGUUGAACAACAAACUUCACAAAAAUUGACAGUAAUGAUACUAAAGGAAAACUUCAUUUUGCUUUAGGAAAAGAAAUACCAGUAACUUUAAAUGUUCUUUAGUCUCUUCUCAAGAAAAGGCUAGGUAAAUGCUUUGUUUUGAUAGAAGAGAACAUAGAUUAGAUUAUAGUUCUCACUAAAUACAAGUUUCUUCCUGGCUAGCUGAAGACGAUUUCAAAAAUUAACCUUUUGCAGUACUUACUAAAUGUUGCCCUCAUCAGAAAAGAAAGAAAUCUAUCUUGAUAGUUAACACACAUAGCUUAAGGACACGUUUUUAGCUUGGUAUGGUGGCACAUGCCUGUAAUCACAACAUACAGGGAGGUUACCUUGUCACCAUUUCAGGCUGGGGCUGUUCACUUGAGAUUCAGGCAGCCCAAAGAAGGAAUGCAGAGCUGUGGGCACUGUUAAACAUCUUUUAUUCUCAGCUACCACCAGCCACUGCCCAGUUGCCCACUUGCCCUAUCUGUCCAGCCGCUCUGCCCCUGUACACACACAACAGUUCUUCACCCCUAGCCAGCCCGUUCUUGCUGCAGUCCACAGCUACUUAGUCUCCUGCCAGCCCUCAUGGCAGUCUAGAUUUAUACCAAAAUAUACAGUACUGGCUAUGUGCCAGUAACAACCUUGUAAGUUACUUACAGUGAGACGGACAAGGUGUGCCUGUGCCGAAAUCUUGCUGACUUGGACUUAAUGGCUACUGGAAAUCACCCCCUCCACGCACAUACAGCGUGAACCAACGUGUAGCCAUCUUAGACUUCAUUUUUCCCUACACUGAGGAAGGAGGCUCAUGAGUUUGAGUACCCCCAAGGGCAAUUUUGGGAGACCUUGUCUCAAAAUAAGAAAAGGGCUAAGAGUCCAGCAGUGGUGGUGCAUACCUGUAAUCCCAGCACUCAGGAGGCUGAGGCAGGAAUAUUGCUUCAAGUGCAAGGCCAGCCUGGGCUACAUAGCAAGACCCUGUCUCAAAAAAAAGAAAGAAAGAAAGAAAGAAGAAAGAAAAGGGCUAGUAGUGUAACUCAGAGGUAGUUAUCCCUGGAUUUGAUGCCAGGUACUGCUGAGAGAGAGAGAGAAAAUGAAUGAAUAAGAAUGAUGCUUUUACGAAAGAACACUCUUUUGACUAUGGAACAGUGGUUUGAAAUCAUUGUAAAAAAUGAAUUAUAUAUAAAGAUGAAACAGUACAAAACAUUAUAUUACUAUUCUUUUAACAGAGGAAGUUUCUUUUUGUUAUUUUGAAAUUAUACGUCCUACUUAAAUGCUCUGUGAGAAGGCAGUAAUGAAACAACACGUUUUGUUGAAUAUUGAACAUUUUCUUAAGAGCUCUACAAAAGAAGGAAAUAUGGUUUGAAAAUUUUGCAUGUGGUAAGAGUAGCUGGGGCUGGGGAUUUAGCUCAGUGGUUUCGCCGCCUGCUGCGCAAGUGCAAGGACCCAAGUUCAAUCCCCGGUACCAAAAAAAAAAAAAAAAAAAAAAAUGAGUAGUACAUAUUUAAGUGUUGGGUGAGAGAGGUAGGGACAAAAAAUGCAUAGCAAUCUACUGCAGGAAUAUCACAUGCAGUUUGAGAAGUACACAAAGAAGGGAAUCAGUCUUGAGGUGUACCACAAAUAAGGGCAGGAUACGAGCACGAUGUGAAGAAAAUAAAAGAAAUGGGGGUAUUUCUGCAACUCCAAAGGGGCAAACUAACGCACUGAAUGGGAUGGGUCCUUGUGUGCUUGACGAGGGCAUGCAGGUCAGAGUGGCUUGUCAGGAGCAAUGCUACAUAAUUUUAGGGUAAAAUCGUUUGGUUAGCCUAGUUCUCCUGCCUACAGCCCAGCUAUGGAAUUCUGAGACAUAACUCCAUUUUGGCCUCUGCUCACAACUGAGACCUCAACGAUCCAGUGAUGUUGUGACUCUCCAGGACAAGAAACAUCCUGGGAGCUGAAAACAUCCUGCGAAGAACAAACAUCUACUCAGUUCCUCCUUGUUCUUGGAUUGUUACAUCUUAUUUACACAGGCUGUACUGAACUCUCUGCAAGUCAUUUGUUACAUUUGUUUCUCCCAAUGUACUGAAUAAAAGGUGUGGUAAGCUGGGGUCUUUCGUUUUUGCUGCCCAGAGCAGCAGUGAUCAGACCCAAAGCUCAGCCUCUCAGUCUCAUUUUUCUACAUUUCCUGUAAUUUGCCGUGUGCUGCCGUGGCUCACAGGAGACUAGGACUUACUGCAGAGGUUCUAGUAACGUCCCCUUUCCCUGUUCCCUACAGUAGCUGAAAAGGAGUGGGCUCCAGGAAGGUUUACAAGAGGGCUUAGUUUGCAGAGUCCUUUGAGUGUCCAUCAAGGAGUAUUGGGGGGGGUCACCCUGUGGCAUAUGUGUGAUCACUAGACCAUUGACAGUCACAUGUAGUGCAAUAAAUUGCAUGGUGUGUCAUCAAGGCACUGCUGUGAUAGUAUAGUAUUCAUGAGCACAGCUUUUUAGGGUGACCAGCAAUAAAGUCAAACCAUCUCUACUGAUCAGGACAUAUUCAUUAAGUAAUUUCUCAUUUUAAACCCUAAGUACUCACUUUUAACCCAUUAGAAGAAAAAUAAAAGCAAUGAGGAAAGUUUCAGAAUGCUAAAAAGAAGAUGGAAAAGGUAGAAAAGUGAAAAAAAUAUAAACAAAACAAAAUGUAAGGGAAAGCAAUGUUCAACAAAAUACAUACACAUUCAGAUUAGACUCAAAUUCAGCCAUAGUACUUUUUGUUUCUAUCUAGCAGAAAACAAAUACUUUAUUUUUUUGCUUUCAUUUUAUAACCCUUAAAGUUCCUUAAUUCAACUAGGGCACACAUACACAAAGCCACCAGAACAAGGAUCACUUAAAGAGCUGGAUGUAGAAAAUACUAUUGCAGUAUGCUACAAAUAUGGAACCCUGUUAUAUGAGCUACAAAAAGCAGCAUUUGCCUUUAUAGAGUUGAGUGCAAUUUGUACAUUAAAAAAUUCUAUAAAUGAAGGGAACACCAACACAACAGAAGAUAUGCCCAUCACAGGCACCCGCCCUGGGAAGCGCGGGCAGUGGUCACCGACCGGGCAGGAGGACUGUUUCCCGGGGCCACGCGGAGGCCUCUUCUGGGCGAGGGACUGAGUCCCACCUGGUUCCAGGUCAGAUUUCCUUCCCACCUCACCUGGGCAACGUGUCACUGAGGACAGGGAAGACACUGCCCACAGGCUGCGGAGUGGGAGCAGCAGGGCAUCGGGAACGCAGGAGUGCAUGGCGUGGGACCUUUCGGGGCCCAGAGACAAGGAGAGUGUCUUGAGGCCGGAAGAGGAGAGGAGCGCAGGAUAGAAAAUAGAGGCAAGAGGGGCCCAUGUGGAGGUGACGACCUGGAGGUGCGGGCAGCACUGACAGGAGCUCCCUAGCCCAGGGACACAGGAGAGGAGGACAGCAGAAGGAGGAAGGGAUCCCCGAUAGUAAACCCAAAGCCAGCCUCACUCCCAGCCCAUCCCUGCGAGCCAAAGCUCGACUCUUUGGCUCCCAGACAGUGGACCCUGCACGCCCAGUGUGCGCAGGCUGGCACUCUUGGCUGCACACCCCGAGGGAGGAACCGCGGGGCGCCUGCCCUAGCCGGGGAGACUCCCACGCCCUGACUUCUGUGGCUUGGCUGGGGGGGGGGGGGGGGGGAGGUGCUGCGGGUGGAGGUGCAGGGCAGUGGUAGCUGCCGCUGCAGGCCCAGGAGCGAGCAGGGUCGGGUAGAGGGCAGCGUGCAGGACAGCAUGGAAGGUGAAGGGCCUGGGGUGGAUGGCAGAGGCGGGGAUGAUGUGGAUGGGGUGACUGGCGAGGAAGGUGGCCGGGUGGCCGGGGAUGAUGGAGUGAGGUGCGACAGGGAGAUGGGCGUCAGGUGGGGCUGGGGGAUGUGGUGCACGUGGGCCGGGGGCUGUGGGUGGGCGUGGGGGUGGAUGCCAAUGGUGGCAGUGGCGGCCAGGUGGUGCUGCAGGAUGGCGUGCUGCACCCAGGUAAUGCAGGUGGCCGAAGUCGCGGCGAGAUGGCGCAGGUGGAUGGGCUGCAGGGCAGAGGUGGCGGGGGGCAAGGGCAGCCGAGGCAGAGAAGGCCUUCACUUGCUUGGCCAGCAGCUGUUGUUGGAUGUGCUGCGUUGCGGCCUGCUGGAGCUUGCUGGACUUCUUCAUCUCCUCGAGCUUGAAGGUGAUGGGCUGGCAAUCCAGGGGAGCCAGCAAGGCGUCCUCUGCCCCCUUGGGGACUCCAUGCGGGGCUUGGACAAUCUCCCAGGGGGAGGGCCGAGGCUCGAGGCCUGAGGCCCGCAGGCUCCCUUACCCGUGCAGCUGGAACACUGGACUGUAUGCUUUCCUCCUGGUCAGCUCUGUGAGUAGUGUGAGGCCCUUGACUGCACAGGCACCUGCCCCAGAAAGUGGGUGUCGCCAUUGGCUGAGAGGGCGGGGCCUGCAGGCAGUGGGCCUGUCAGUUGGAGUCCGGCCUUGAUCAGCGCAAGGUCCAGUUACCAGAACUGGAUGGGGAGGGUUAGUCACUGUG